UCUUGAUUGGUCCAGUGAUCAGGAUACCUGUUUGUCAGGCAGGUGGCCGGGGUUCGAUUCCCUGAUCGAGAG
Molecule: transfer RNA, 72 nt
Filed under: Xylariaceae sp. FL0255
Lineage: Eukaryota; Fungi; Ascomycota; Sordariomycetes; Xylariales; Xylariaceae
Description: tRNA-Asp
Rfam family: tRNA
About the family: Transfer RNA (tRNA) molecules are approximately 80 nucleotides in length.
Source: RNAcentral